AAACAACAAAAAAUAAAGAGUUUAAAAAAUGCUGUCCAGAGCAUUCAAAGUUUUGAAUGUCACUACAAUUCGUCUUCCUUGCAUACUUUCCAACCAAUCCUUGGAUUUUCAGCACAACAAACACACAGGAGCCUCAGGGCCUUGGUGUGACCCAGCACAAAACAGGACAGGACCCACUGCAAAAGGAAACCUUUGUUGGCACAUGGAAACCAUUGUUGCCUUAGGUUUCGUCUCAUAGGUCUGGGGGUUCUAUGCGGGCUCAGGAAAAUAAGGAGAUCCGUUUCCCGAAGACCAAACCCCCACACAGAGUCUUCACCUCUCAAGCCCUCCAUCAUUCUCCCCAGAUAACCAAAUCAAGAUCAUUCAUCCCUUCAACCAUUAUCCUUUCAUUCCUUCAUCCCCUCAUCCCUUCAUCCUCAUCCCUCCAUCCCUAAUAUCUACAUCCCUUCAUCCUCAUCCCUAAUCUCUACAUCCCUUCAUCCCUCAUCCCUUCAUUAAUAAAUCUUCAAACAUAUAUCUUUGUGGCGUGG
Molecule: long non-coding RNA, 530 nt
Organism: Xiphophorus couchianus (Monterrey platyfish)
Lineage: Eukaryota; Metazoa; Chordata; Actinopteri; Cyprinodontiformes; Poeciliidae
Exons: 3
Source: RefSeq, a predicted model, not a curated record